This 261-nucleotide ribosomal RNA is filed under the name Pectinatus cerevisiiphilus. Lineage: Bacteria; Bacillati; Bacillota; Negativicutes; Selenomonadales; Selenomonadaceae. The record is from RNAcentral.
CGAGAGCUUAACUUAAAAUCAUCGAAAAAAAAUGUUUGGUCUGAGAUUUCUUCUGUGAAGUUUUGAGUGUGCAAGACACUCUGGUUGAAGGGCAGUGAACGUGAGAGCGUAAAACUGCGGACUUUGGCUCAAAGAGUUAAAGCAUCUGGUGGCGAUACCUGGAUGGAUCCACCUGUUCCCAUUCCGAACACAGUAGUUAAGCAUCCACAGGCUGAAGGUACUUGGGGGGUGACCCUCUGGGAGAAUAGGUUGUUGCCAGUU